Molecule: ribosomal RNA, 402 nt
Filed under: uncultured bacterium
Lineage: Bacteria
Description: bacterial SSU rRNA
Rfam family: Bacterial small subunit ribosomal RNA
Source: RNAcentral
UAGGGAAUUUUGCGCAAUGGGGGAGACCCUGACGCAGCAACACCGCGUGAAUGUUAAGCCCUUCGGGGUGUAAAGUUCUGUCAGUGGGGACGAAAUAUGACUGUACCCACAAAGGAAGCACCGGCUAACUCCGUGCCAGCAGCCGCGGUAAUACGGGGGGUGCAAGCGUUGUCCGGAAUGACUGGGCGUAAAGGGUGCGCAGGCGGUUUGUCAAGUUGGAAGCGUAAUCCCGGGGCUUAACUCCGGUGCUACUUCCAAAACUGAUGAACUUGAGUGUGGGAGAGGUAAGUGGAAUUCCUAGUGUAGCGGUGGAAUGCGUAGAUAUUAGGAGGAACACCAGCGGCGAAGGCGGCUUACUGGACCAUAACUGACGCUGAGGCACGAAAGCGUGGGGAGCAAACA